GAGCCUGAGAAACGGCUACCACAUCCAAGGAUGGCAGCAGGCGCGCAAAUUACCCAAUCCCGACACGGGGAGGUAGUGACAAUAAAUAACAAUACGGGGUUCUUNNNNAUCUCGUAAUUGGAAUGAGUACAAUUUAAAUCUCUUAACGAGGAACAAUUGGAGGGCAAGUCUGGUGCCAGCAGCCGCGGUAAUUCCAGCUCCAAUAGCGUAUAUUAAAGUUGUUGCAGUUAAAAAGCUCGUAGUUGAAUUUCGGGGUUAGUAGGUUGGUCAUGCCUCUGGGAUGUACUGGUCUCACUGAUUCCUCCUUC
Molecule: ribosomal RNA, 308 nt
Filed under: uncultured fungus
Lineage: Eukaryota; Fungi
Description: SSU rRNA
Rfam family: Eukaryotic small subunit ribosomal RNA
Source: RNAcentral